This 988-nucleotide long non-coding RNA is filed under the name Salmo salar (Atlantic salmon). Its description in RNAcentral is "lncRNA (ENSSSAG00000082782.1, ENSSSAG00000088447.1)". Lineage: Eukaryota; Metazoa; Chordata; Actinopteri; Salmoniformes; Salmonidae. The record is from RNAcentral.
AAAGCAGAACCUUAAAAUGUUAGAUCCUGAUCUGACUAUGCCAAAUGGCUGUGUGCUACACUAGUUAAUUUAGCAGUCAAGAUUUUCUUAGAAUUCCUUGGCAUUAUUUUAUAGUAUGAAGAAUACAAUUGAACAAAGCUGAAUAAAAUAGAAAGGAUAUUUUCUCCAAACAAUUUGAGGGAGUGCGCACAUGCGGCUCUUCUGUGUUGAGCGGUUAACAAAGAAACAGAUGUGGGUGAUUUGCCUGAUCCCUCAGUCCCAGGCCUACCAGAAGGGUAUCCUUUUUGUGGAGCAAUUCAGCUGUGCCACAUGUUUUGACUGACGCAGUCCUGAAACAAGAGAUCAACGCAUCAAUUCUUGGACUCAAACAGCAGCUGGAGGAUGUAUGCAACGGCCUGAGAGAGAUUAAUCAAUCAUUGAAAGAACUUGUUGAUUGUGUCAAACAUGUGAGACAAUAAAUUCUGGUGCAAUGUAAAUGUGUUUUCCUUGUCAAUUUGAUUACAAUAUUUGGAAGAACAGAUAUCUAAAACUGUUGUAUGAUAUUGACUCUUGUCCUCAGUGCCAGAGCUAUGGGUGGUGGAAAAAACUCCCUGUCAGGCAUGGGCUCAUCGGGUCUGGGUGGAUGAUUCAGUGGAAUGCCAUUUUUGAUUGCAAUGUUGUGGAAUACACUCCAAGCCUUGACAAUGUAGCAAGCCUAAAAAGGAAUUUGCACAUUGUAUUACAUUCACGUAAUGGCAUUUGAAGGAAUGUCAUUUCAGAGGCAAACCUUGCUAGGCUAGUAUUGCAGUGUGCCUCCUGUCCCAGACAAGCACAACGCCCUUUCAGCAGGCCUAUGGUGCGCUGCACUGUUGUUCUUGUGCUUGCGUGGGCUUCGUUGUACCUUGACUCUUGUUGGUUUGAGGAGUUUGUGAGGGGAGUCAUCAGCCAUGUUUUUAACGGGUAACUCCGGUCUCCUGCAGUUAUGAAACACACCAUUCAGAUAUUGUUU